UAUGUGAUCGUCUCUCGCAUAUCAAUAAGCGGAGGAAAAGAAACUAACAAGGAUUCCCCUAGUAACGGCGAGUGAAGCGGGAAGAGCUCAAAUUUGAAAUCUUAAAGGGUUUCCCUUUACGAAUUGUAGUUUAAAGAAGUGUUUUCUGUUGAGGUUUUGGUAAAAGUUCUUUGGAAUAGGACAUCAUAGAGGGUGAGAAUCCCGUAUUUGACCUUUACUUUCAACUUUGUGAUACACUUUCAAAGAGUCGGAUUGUUUGGGAAUGCAGUCCAAAAUGGGUGGUAAAUUUCAUCUAAAGCUAAAUAUUGGCGAGAGACCGAUAGCGAACAAGUACCAUGAGGGAAAGAUGAAAGGAACUUUGAAAAGAGAGUUAAACAGUACGUGAAAUUGUCAAAAGGGAAGCGUUUGACACCAGUGUUGUUUUUCUGAAAAUCAAUUAAAGAACUGUUUAUGCUAAGUUGUUUAGACUUUAUCAGCUAUCUGCUUAGUUUUGAGCUUUUCUUUAAUGCACUUUUCAGUUAACAAGUCAACAUCAAUUUCUUUUGCUGUAAAAAAGCUUGAGGAAGGUGGCUUGAGAUUCGUCUUAAGUGUUUAUAGCCUCUUGCCUAUGCAGUCGGAGAGAUUGAGGUCUGCAGCGUAGAUCCUUCGGGGCUAAAUGCAUUUGUGCUAAGUUAUAGCAUUUUAUAGACAACUUGUUGACUAUGAUUUGUCUUGUAGCUUACUCGCUUAUGUUAUUUUACCUACGCUUAGGAUGUUGACGAGACUGUCGAUCUC
This 774-nucleotide ribosomal RNA is filed under the name uncultured Neocallimastigales. RNAcentral's name for it is "partial large subunit ribosomal RNA". It matches the Rfam family "Eukaryotic large subunit ribosomal RNA", at positions 24 to 647 of the family's 3401-position model. Lineage: Eukaryota; Fungi; Neocallimastigomycota; Neocallimastigomycetes; Neocallimastigales. The record is from RNAcentral.